This 472-nucleotide ribosomal RNA is filed under the name uncultured bacterium. Its description in RNAcentral is "bacterial SSU rRNA". It matches the Rfam family "Bacterial small subunit ribosomal RNA", at positions 355 to 825 of the family's 1533-position model. The record is from RNAcentral.
UGGGGAAUAUUGGACAAUGGGCGAAAGCCUGAUCCAGCCAUGCCGCGUGUGUGAAGAAGGUCUUCGGAUUGUAAAGCACUUUAAGUUGGGAGGAAGGGCAGUUACCUAAUACGUGAUUGUUUUGACGUUACCGACAGAAUAAGCACCGGCUAACUCUGUGCCAGCAGCCGCGGUAAUACAGAGGGUGCAAGCGUUAAUCGGAAUUACUGGGCGUAAAGCGCGCGUAGGUGGUUUGUUAAGUUGGAUGUGAAAUCCCCGGGCUCAACCUGGGAACUGCAUUCAAAACUGACAAGCUAGAGUAUGGUAGAGGGUGGUGGAAUUUCCUGUGUAGCGGUGAAAUGCGUAGAUAUAGGAAGGAGCACCAGUGGCGAAGGCGACCACCUGGACUGAUACUGACACUGAGGUGCGAAAGCGUGGGGAGCAAACAGGAUUAGAUACCCCUGUAGUCCCUGAGCGGGCUGGCAAGGCGCAU